AGGACGAACGCUGGCGGCGUGCUUAAUACAUGCAAGUCAAGCGAGAGUAGCAAUACUCGAGCGGCGGACGGGUGAGUAACGCGUGGGCAAUCUGCCCUCUAGCCUGGGAUAACAGGUUCGAAGGACUGCUAACACCGGAUAUGCUCACACCCUGGCAUCAGGGAGUGAGAAAAGUUUACACUAGAGGAUGAGCCCGCGUCCCAUUAGCUAGUUGGUGAGGUAACGGCCCACCAAGGCGACGAUGGGUA
This 248-nucleotide ribosomal RNA is filed under the name uncultured bacterium. RNAcentral describes it as "partial small subunit ribosomal RNA". It matches the Rfam family "Bacterial small subunit ribosomal RNA", at positions 26 to 285 of the family's 1533-position model. The record is from RNAcentral.